This is a long non-coding RNA of Cryptomeria japonica (Japanese cedar), 734 nucleotides long. RefSeq lists it as uncharacterized. The transcript has 3 exons. The record is from RefSeq and is a predicted model, not a curated record. NCBI's taxonomy places the organism in Eukaryota, Viridiplantae, Streptophyta, Pinopsida, Cupressales, Cupressaceae.
AAGUUUUUAUUUAUUAUAUUUCUGUCACUCACUUAUAACCAUGUUUUCUUUGUAGAAACAUAACAGAAAUGUGUGGUCCUUUCCAAGGGAAGGGGGUUAGAAAUGGGUUAGGUUUGUUUUGUUUAUUUUCAUUACUCAACUUCCAUGGAGACACCACAGAAAUGCAGGGCCCUCUCCUUGGAAGGGCCUGGUGUUUCAGGUGAAUCCAAAUUGUUAGGAACCUGCACUUGGGUUUGAACUGGAGGCAUUACCUCAUUGGAAUUAGGGAAAUGGGGUGUGUUCUGUUGUUUCCUGUAAUGUAGAUCACACCACCUGAAAGAAUUUCAAUCAUAUUCAUAUUUUUCAAAAUCUGUCACAAAGAUUGAGAAUCCAAUUCCAGCAACAGUCAGAUAAUUUUUGGUUUAUACUCAGGCAGUUACUUACCCCAAAACAUAUGUCAGCAUUAAUGCUCCUGGAACUGGCAAUGAUUUAAUGCGAUACACAGGGAAUCAGGAUGUGUAGAUAUUGAGAAAAGGUUUGCUUAACCUCUAAGCUAUGAUUGAGGAGUGAACACUUACGGUUGGACUGCUGAGGUUUAAAAUUUGAUAUAUGACAAUUUUCCUGAGCGAGAGACAUCAAAAUCUACUGGACGAGGAAAGUAAUCAAUAAUGGGAAACUGCAGCAAGGGGUGAAGUGUAAAGGUGUGAGCGUGUUAACAAAAACUAUUAAAGAAAAAAUUACAAAACAAAUCAAAG